UAGCGAAGGAUGACUUGCCUA
RNAcentral lists this microRNA (21 nucleotides) under Vitis vinifera (wine grape). Lineage: Eukaryota; Viridiplantae; Streptophyta; Magnoliopsida; Vitales; Vitaceae. The record is from RNAcentral.